GCAUGUUGUCCUUCAAAGUUAACUAAAAUCUCGCAACAGACGUUUGAAAAAAAAGGUUUAAAUCAAAACCACGCUCGUGUUUUCAAAAACAUUUGUUCGCGUAAAAUUGAAAUUUUGUCAAUCAUCAUGGUUUGAAAAUCACAAAUGCAACCAAACCAAAAAUCCCAAUAUGAACAGUCCCAAAAGUCCGGAGAGUUCAAAAAUU
Molecule: long non-coding RNA, 205 nt
Filed under: Gossypium raimondii (Peruvian cotton)
Lineage: Eukaryota; Viridiplantae; Streptophyta; Magnoliopsida; Malvales; Malvaceae
Description: long non-coding RNA (GRAI_LNC008731)
Source: RNAcentral